This 781-nucleotide ribosomal RNA is filed under the name uncultured bacterium. RNAcentral's name for it is "bacterial SSU rRNA". It matches the Rfam family "Bacterial small subunit ribosomal RNA", at positions 20 to 788 of the family's 1533-position model. The record is from RNAcentral.
UGGCUCAGAUUGAACGCUGGCGGCAGGCUUAACACAUGCAAGUCGAACGGUAGCAGGAGAAAGCUUGCUUUCUUGCUGACGAGUGGCGGACGGGUGAGUAAUGCUUGGGAAUCUGGCUUAUGGAGGGGGAUAACUACGGGAAACUGUAGCUAAUACCGCGUAGUGUCGAGAGACGAAAGUGCGGGACCGCAAGGCCGCAUGCCAUGAGAUGAGCCCAAGUGGGAUUAGGUAGUUGGUGGGGUAAAGGCCUACCAAGCCUGCGAUCUCUAGCUGGUCUGAGAGGAUGGCCAGCCACACUGGAACUGAGACACGGUCCAGACUCCUACGGGAGGCAGCAGUGGGGAAUAUUGCGCAAUGGGGGGAACCCUGACGCAGCCAUGCCGCGUGAAUGAAGAAGGCCUUCGGGUUGUAAAGUUCUUUCGGUAUUGAGGAAGGAGUGUAUGUUAAUAGCAUACAUUAUUGACGUUAAAUACAGAAGAAGCACCGGCUAACUCCGUGCCAGCAGCCGCGGUAAUACGGAGGGUGCGGGCGUUAAUCGGAAUAACUGGGCGUAAAGGGCACGCAGGCGGUUAUUUAAGUGAGGUGUGAAAGCCCCGGGCUUAACCUGGGAAUUGCAUUUCAGACUGGGUAACUAGAGUACUUUAGGGAGGGGUAGAAUUCCACGUGUAGCGGUGAAAUGCGUAGAGAUGUGGAGGAAUACCGAAAGGCGAAAGGCAGCCCCUUGGGAAUGUACUGACGCUCAUGUGCGAAAGCGUGGGGAGCAAACAGGAUUAGAUACCCU